GUCUAUGGACAUACCACCUUGACUUCACAAGCAAAAUAGGGUUGGGCUGGGUCAGUAAUUGGAUGGGAGACUACCUGGGAAUACCAGGGGCGGUAGGCU
Molecule: non-coding RNA, 99 nt
Organism: Macaca mulatta (Rhesus monkey)
Lineage: Eukaryota; Metazoa; Chordata; Mammalia; Primates; Cercopithecidae
Source: Rfam